RNAcentral lists this ribosomal RNA (371 nucleotides) under uncultured Eubacteriales bacterium. RNAcentral describes it as "bacterial SSU rRNA". It matches the Rfam family "Bacterial small subunit ribosomal RNA", at positions 355 to 742 of the family's 1533-position model. The record is from RNAcentral. Lineage: Bacteria; Bacillati; Bacillota; Clostridia; Eubacteriales.
UGGGGAAUAUUGCACAAUGGGCGCAAGCCUGAUGCAGCAACGCCGCGUGAACGAAGAAGGUCUUCGGAUUGUAAAGUUCUGUCCUUAGGGAAGAAGAAAGUGACGGUACCUAAGGGGAAGCCCGGCUAACUACGUGCCAGCAGCCGCGGUAAUACGUAGGGGGCAAGCGGUUAUCCGGAAUGAUUGGGCGUAAAGAGUACGUAGGUGGUUUUGUAAGCGCGGGGUGAAAGGCAGUGGCUUAACCAUUGUAACCUUGGAACUGCGAGACUUGAGUGCAGGAGAGGAAAGCGGAAUUCCUAGUGUAGCGGUGAAAUGCUUAGAUAUUAGGAGGAACACCAGUGGCGAAGGCGGCUUUUUCUGGACUGUAACUG